GAUGAACGCUGGCGGCGUGCCUAAUACAUGCAAGUCGAGCGAACAGACGAGGAGCUUUCUCCUCUGACUUUAUCGGCGGUCGUGUGUGUAACACGUGUAUAACCUACCUUUAUUACUGGUAUAACUUCGGGACACCUUAUCUAAUACCGGAUAAUAUAUUUAACCUCAUUGUUCAUUAGUUAUUUACGUUUUUUCUUUCUCUUAUAGAUGUAUCCGCGCCGCAUUAGCUAGUUGGUAAGGUAACGGCUUACCAAGGCUACGAUGCGUAGCCGAACUGAGAGGGUGAUCGGACACACUGGAACGGAGACACGGUACAGAGGCCGACGGGAGGCAGCAGAAGGGAAUAUUACGCAAUGGGCGAAAGCAUGACGGAGCAACGCCGCGUGAGAGAUGAAGGACUUCGGAUCGUAAAAAUCUGUUAUGAGGGAAGAAAAAAAGUGUAAGUAAAAAUGCACGUAUUGACGGUAACAAAUAAGAAAGCAACGGCUAACUACGUG
This 497-nucleotide ribosomal RNA is filed under the name uncultured bacterium. RNAcentral's name for it is "partial 16S ribosomal RNA". It matches the Rfam family "Bacterial small subunit ribosomal RNA", at positions 28 to 507 of the family's 1533-position model. The record is from RNAcentral.